AACGAACGCUGGCGGCAUGCCUAACACAUGCAAGUCGAACGAGACCUUCGGGUCUAGUGGCGCACGGGUGCGUAACGCGUGGGAACCUGCCCUUAGGUUCGGAAUAACUCCCCGAAAGGGGUGCUAAUACCGGAUAAUGUCUUCGGACCAAAGAUUUAUCGCCUUUGGAUGGGCCCGCGUUGGAUUAGCUAGUUGGUAGGGUAAAAGCCUACCAAGGCGACGAUCCAUAGCUGGUCUGAGAGGAUGAUCAGCCACACUGGGACUGAGACACGGCCCAGACUCCUACGGGAGGCAGCAGUGGGGAAUAUUGGACAAUGGGCGAAAGCCUGAUUCAGCAAUGCCGCGUGAGUGAUGAAGGCCUUAGGGUUGUAAAGCUCUUUUACCCGGGAUGAUAAUGACAGGACCGGGAGAAUAAGCUCCGGCUAACUCCGU
Molecule: ribosomal RNA, 432 nt
Filed under: uncultured bacterium
Lineage: Bacteria
Description: partial 16S ribosomal RNA
Rfam family: Bacterial small subunit ribosomal RNA
Source: RNAcentral